Molecule: ribosomal RNA, 253 nt
Filed under: uncultured bacterium
Lineage: Bacteria
Description: partial 16S ribosomal RNA
Rfam family: Bacterial small subunit ribosomal RNA
Source: RNAcentral
UACGUAGGGUGCGAGCGUUGUCCGGAAUUAUUGGGCGUAAAGGGCUCGUAGGCGGUUUGUCGCGUCGGGAGUGAAAACCCAGGGCUUAACCCUGGGCUGGCUUCCGAUACGGGCAGACUAGAGGUAUGCAGGGGAGAACGGAAUUCCUGGUGUAGCGGUGAAAUGCGCAGAUAUCAGGAGGAACACCGGUGGCGAAGGCGGUUCUCUGGGCAUUACCUGACGCUCAGGCGCGAAAGCUAGGGGAGCGAACAGG